Molecule: ribosomal RNA, 498 nt
Filed under: uncultured bacterium
Lineage: Bacteria
Description: bacterial SSU rRNA
Rfam family: Bacterial small subunit ribosomal RNA
Source: RNAcentral
UAGUCCACGCCGUAAACGAUGUGUACUAGAUAUUGGAGAUAUUGACUCUUCAGUGUCGUAGCUAACGCAAUAAGUACACCGCCUGGGAAGUACGGUCGCAAGACUAAAGCUCAAAGGAAUUGACGGGGGCCCGCACAAGCGGUGGAUUAUGUGGUUUAACUCGAAGCAACGCGCAGAACCUUACCUAGGCUUGAAAUCCCGAGAAGAUCGACCAAAAUUGAUUGUGCUCUUCGGAGAACUCGGUGACAGGCGCUGCAUGGCUGUCGUCAGCUCGUGUCGUGAGAUGUUGGGUUAAGUCUCGCAACGAGCGCAACCCCUAUCCUUAGUUGCCAGCAUUAAGUUGGGCACUCUAGGGAGACUGCCUGGGUUAACCAGGAGGAAGGUGGGGAUGACGUCAAGUCCUCAUGGCCCUUAUGUCUAGGGCUACACACGUAAUACAAUGGUGCAUACAAAGGGAGCGACUCGCGAGAGUGAGCAAAUCUACAAAAAGUGCAUCUA